CAGAAAUACUACAAAGAUUUAAAAGACCCAGAGGCUGCGGGAGUUAUUCUGCAUGGUCAGCAGAGCCUCCCAUAUUAGAACAAAGGAUUCUAUGACUACAAAACAAAGCAAAGAGUCCUUAUUUACAGUUUCCUUAAUUGUAAGGCAAACACAACAAAAUCUCUAAAUACUCCUUGGUGAGGAUCAGCUGUGUAAACCUGAUCCAUAUAUUGAAAGAUCACACAGUAAUCCAGAGCAGCUAUGAGCACGUCUUAUUUUUCACACUGAACUAUUUCUAUAAUACACUGUCAACGGGGAAAAGCUGAUUUCAGGAAAAUGUGCAUAUAUGUGAAACAGCGUCUGCUUCCUCUGUCCCCGAGCCUACCCUGGCCUGCUGCCACUUCUGACUGGUGGGGCCAGUCCCCAGUUCCCAGAUGGAAGGAGGGAACAUUACUUUUUCUCUUUCCUGGGUCGUGUGCUUUGUUUUUCACAUGGGACACAAAACACUUCUAUAAAAAAGGAAGAGUCCGUUUCCAGGACCAUCACGGCGCUGCGUGCGGCAGGCUCGACCCGGCUGCGCUGACCGUGCUGGAAGGAGCCCGGAGCGUCCGUGCAUCACGGAGGGGUUUAACAGCGCCUGCUUGUGAUGCGCCAUCAGCCACUCUUGGGAUGACCGGCCCUUCCCUGUACCUGGCUCUCAGAGCCCUUCACGGCCGGCAUCGUCCCAGGGUCUUCAGAAGCACCCAGAGUCUCCCUCAUUCCUCAGGACACCAAGCCUCCCGGGGGCCGGGUGGGCUUGGGCGCUGCUUCCUCGUGGGGAAUAGGAAUCUGCCUUGCUCCCUUACGCUCCUCUGCUUUAUCCCUUCCCUGUUGGCCAGGCGAGAUCCAGGGGGCCAAUCUGACUUGGAAACACUGGCCCUUCCUCUGUCCCCCUUGGUGCAGCCCCUACCUGGCUGGCAGGGGCGUGAGAUGCCCAGGGCUGAGUGCAGCGCCACCCUCCUGCACACAGCUCGGCCAGCGUCGGGCCUGCCUGUGCUGCCCGGGCCCUCUGACCCUGUGGAAAGGGCACUUGAGUGGUGGCGGCAAAGUGAGUGAGGAGCAUGCCCUCAGAGGCCGCUGCCUUGGCUCUGGGCACCUCAAAGGCUGUGUCACUGCCUCUCCAUCUUCACCCUCA
This 1153-nucleotide long non-coding RNA is filed under the name Marmota monax (woodchuck). The record is from RNAcentral. Lineage: Eukaryota; Metazoa; Chordata; Mammalia; Rodentia; Sciuridae.